CCCAUUCACCGAAGUCAAGCAUCAUUGGGCGCUGUCAGUACUUGGGUGGGUGACCACCUGGGAACACCGCGUGCCGUU
Molecule: ribosomal RNA, 78 nt
Filed under: Caerostris darwini
Lineage: Eukaryota; Metazoa; Arthropoda; Arachnida; Araneae; Araneidae
Source: RNAcentral